GAAAGAACCUGAGACGUGACACUGAAAAUCAGUAGAAGAAAUACGCCACAUUUAUUCUACCGGGGAAGACAGUGGGUAAGAAAAAAAUACCGUAACAUUUAAAUUAAAAAAUAAUUAAAAAUUUAAAAGCAAAUAGAAAUUAAAACAAAAUACACUGAUAACCUCGCUGCCAGAACAAGAUACACCAAAAAAAAAUUUUUUUUUUUGAGUAUACAAAACAUACAAAGCAUCCUACAAACAGAAAGAAAUUGCAAACAGGGUCGAAUGGUGAGAUCCUACCAUUAUAUUUGUCAGCACUAAACCCGUGCCUCUUGCGCCUAUCCGAAGUUUCCUCGGAUUAAGAAGAAACAGCCAUGGUUAAACCGGUAUUUGCGACACCAACAAUUAUCUGUAGCCGACGUACCCCAACUUCUACAUGAGUGAAAAAUCGCCAGCAUAGCCAGGGCGAGACUAUUGCGAAUUCUAACUUGGUAUGAUUUAAAAAUUCCAGACACUGCUAAAUUUUUUUAAAUUGCAUUCUUCAGUACCUAGAUUAAUACAGGAGUUAUAAACCGCACGCAUGGCUAUAAUGGGGGCUCCUAUUACGGAACAGGAAUUUGCUACUACUAAAAUUAUGUAGGCAUGGUUAAAGCCAGAAUUGUUACAACCAGAAAUCGCAAACUGGAAUAACUCUCAACUUGCUACGGUAAGAAAUAACUAAACUCUGACUUGGUCAGACUAAGAAAUCAGGAGUUUGAGACCAGCCCAGGCAACAUGGCGAAAUCCUGUCUCUAGGAAGGAUACAAAAAAUUACCCGGGCGUGGUGGCGCGUGCCUGUGGUCCCAGCUACCCCGGAGGCUGGGGUGGGAGGAUCGCUUCAGCCCGGGAGGCGGAGGUUGCAGUGAGCCGAGAUCGCGGCACUGCACUCCAGCCUGGGCGACAGAGCCGGACCCCGUAUCAAGAAAGAAAGAGAAAAGAAAAAGAACCAAAGAAAAAGAAAAGUCACCAUCGCACGGUUAAGUCUGCCUUGCUACAGCUAAACAGUGACUUCCUAGGACCAAGAAAUCGCAGCCAGGGCUAGACCGAUGCCCUAAAUCGGGACUUGCUUAGGCUGAGAAAUCACAUUUUGGCUAGUUAUUUGGACAAGAGGUAGAAAUAGCGGGCACCGCGAAAUCGAAACUUGCUAGGACCAAGAAGCCAACGACGGGCGAAACCGCAGGGGCCUGCGAUAGAGACGCCAGCGGCGCCGCCGGGGGACUGGGUUCAGGAGGCCGAGCAGGAACCCGUGCGUCGGCGCUCGCGGCGCUGUGAAGAGACGGCGUCCGCGCAGCUCCUCUGCCUCUGGCUCGGAGGAGCGGCGGGCUCCCCCGCCCAGCGCCGGCGUCGCCCGGGAACCCCAGACUCUGCGCAACUGGCUGCGAUUCCAAAUCCCUCAGAUCGGCUACCAGAGCGCUGCCGCCACCGAGAAAAUGGAGGCACCGAGGAACAAGAUGUGCCGCGACCAAGAGAACUCGGCUUGGCGAAAUGGCGGUGCUGGGACCCUAAGAGUGACGCCAGCCGGAGGAGUUCCCAAGGACAACAUCCAUUUUGGCGGAACCAACGGUGUUGUCACGCAGAAAAUGUCGACCCUCGGAAAAGAGAGGUUCUGCGACCGAGAAAUUCGGUGCAACAAGUGCUGUGACAGAAAACCCCCCGCUCGGCGCUGCUGGCGAAAGAGCCAACAAAACGCUGGGUGCUGCCACCGUGACACCGACUUUAGGACCCCGGCCUCGGAUGGAGAAAGGAGGGUACGGAGCCACCACAUAACUUCCUAAUGUCUUCAAAUAGCGAAAGUGCUAGCCGGAAACUGCCGGCUGGGUUUACCUAUUGGUGCUCGUGUGGGACUAGCAGAUUCGAGAAACCAGCGGGACUGGAACCUAGUACACUUCGGCAGUUGAGAAAUGACUUACCAGGACAAAUACUGCUUCUGGCUCGAUGGUGCUGCCCAUGAACAUCCGCCGGCUCUGAGAAACGAGCUGCACUGUCAGUGAGAAACCGUGGGCACUGAGAAACGAGCGGACUGCAACUGAUAACUGCCCACCCAGUGCCACUACGACAAAGUGCUGCUGGCACUACUCCCACCCUCCGUCCUCAAAUCAGUCCCCUCCCGCCUAAGAAGACCUUUAUUUUUCCUAGCGAAGUCAUACUGAGGGCCCCAUCAACCGAUCCCUUGCGAUGCGCAUGGGAAAAGGAGGCAGUAUAGGGACCGAGAAUCGGGCGGAUUGGGCUGGCCCUGGUAACAAAAGCCAUCCGGGUCGCCAACCGUCUUCCACUGCAAGAAACAAACCUUCCAGUGGCUGGGCUCCGCCCUUCUCCUUGGUCAGAGCCCUCCAGGCUCCUAAGGGCGAAGCCGACACCUCAUCCCUUUGGAACUUGAAGUUCUCAGUCCAAGACCUCCGUGGAGAGUGAAAGACUCAAUGCCUCCUGACCGAGGCUUCAGGCCUGCCCCGGCAGCUAGGAAACCUGAAACUGCCAUUGAGCAGAAGGAAAACAUCCCUUUCCAGAACCUUUCUCGUUUUUCUAAAAAUCUGCACUUUUGGAAGUGAUCCCCCAAAGAGACCUCCAGACUCUACCAUGAGUGUCUCCAGCUGAACUCAUCGUGUCUAAUCCUCACCCUAGCUUAUCCUGUUCAAAUCAUUUCCAUCUUUUUCUGGAUGAACCUGGGCGGAUGUCAGACCAGAGAAGAGCACAGAAUGUACCAGAGAGGUAAGAAGACCCAUUUUGGGCUCUCACUUCUCACCCACUCCCAAGAUGGUCACCUCCAGUCUUCCCCCCUAUACCUUACC
RNAcentral lists this long non-coding RNA (2804 nucleotides) under Homo sapiens (human). RNAcentral's name for it is "non-protein coding lnc-ZNF131-2:6". The record is from RNAcentral. Lineage: Eukaryota; Metazoa; Chordata; Mammalia; Primates; Hominidae.